CCAGAGAACUUAGCAGAGAUGCUUUGGUGCCUCCGGGAACUCUGAGACAGGUGCUGCAUGGCUGUCGUCAGCUCGUGUUGUGAAAUGUUGGGUUAAGUCCCGCAACGAACGCAACCCUUAUCCUUUGUUGCCAGCGGUCCGGCCGGGAACUCAAAGGAGACUGCCAGUGAUAAACUGGAGGAAGGUGGGGAUGACGUCAAGUCAUCAUGGCCCUUACGAGUAGGGCUACACACGUGCUACAAUGGCGCAUACAAAGAGAAGCGACCUCGCGAGAGCAAGCGGACCUCAUAAAGUGCGUCGUAGUCCGGAUUGGAGUCUGCAACUCGACUCCAUGAAGUCGGAAUCGCUAGUAAUCGUAGAUCAGAAUGCUACGGUGAAUACGUUCCCGGGCCUUGUACACACCGCCCGUCACACCAUGGGAGUGGGUUGCAAAAGAAGUAGGUAGCUUAACCUUCGGGAGGGCGCUUACCACUUUGUGAUUCAUGACUGGGGUGAAGUCGUAACAAGGUAGGCGUAGCGAG
RNAcentral lists this ribosomal RNA (521 nucleotides) under uncultured bacterium. RNAcentral's name for it is "bacterial SSU rRNA". It matches the Rfam family "Bacterial small subunit ribosomal RNA", at positions 988 to 1509 of the family's 1533-position model. The record is from RNAcentral.